RNAcentral lists this long non-coding RNA (217 nucleotides) under Homo sapiens (human). Its description in RNAcentral is "HSALNT0095982". The record is from RNAcentral. Lineage: Eukaryota; Metazoa; Chordata; Mammalia; Primates; Hominidae.
GACCUUUCAUAGAUGGGUCGUAUUUCAAAAAGUAAGGUCAGAAAACGUGUUCUGGGCAGAAGGAGCUAGAGCAAUUGAUGACUUCAGAGACAUUGGCAGUGGGAGAUGACUAGAGUAUGGUAUGGAGAGUGGACAGAGCUGAAGCAUAGCUCCAAAUGUGAAGCAUUGAAACAUUCACUAAGCUGCAGUCAAUAAUUUAAAAGUUUUUUAGUAGGAA